AAAUGAUGAUAUUCCAGCUGGCACCAGUCAUAGGGCGACUUGUACUCCCUCCAUUGAUGACAAACGCUGCGGUCUUUCGACCAAUCUCUGAU
This 92-nucleotide small nucleolar RNA is filed under the name Gaeumannomyces tritici R3-111a-1. Its description in RNAcentral is "Gaeumannomyces graminis var. tritici R3-111a-1 A. fumigatus snoRNA Afu_190". It matches the Rfam family "A. fumigatus snoRNA Afu_190". Lineage: Eukaryota; Fungi; Ascomycota; Sordariomycetes; Magnaporthales; Magnaporthaceae. The record is from Rfam by way of RNAcentral.